RNAcentral lists this small nuclear RNA (310 nucleotides) under Peromyscus maniculatus bairdii (prairie deer mouse). Its description in RNAcentral is "7SK RNA (ENSPEMG00000028202.1)". The stretch from base 1 to 272 matches the Rfam family "7SK RNA". Rfam says of the family: 7SK was discovered as an abundant small nuclear RNA in the mid-70s but a possible function has only recently been suggested. Two independent studies have found that 7SK RNA binds the CDK9/cyclin T complex (known as elongation factor P-TEFb). P-TEFb activates transcription by phosphorylating the C-terminal domain of RNA polymerase II. Lineage: Eukaryota; Metazoa; Chordata; Mammalia; Rodentia; Cricetidae. The record is from RNAcentral.
GGAGGCGAGGGCGAUCUGGCUUGUGAUAUCCGGUCACCCUAUUGAUCGCCAGGGUUGACUCGGCUGAUCUGGUGGGUACCCUUCCUUCUACACAGCUCCAUAUGUAAUCCCCCCUGAGGUUGCCCACUCUGUGGAAAGACAACCUUCCCUGAAUAGAAGACUGUUGACGGUAUACAAAUAGCUGUGGUUCCUGUGAGAACCUCCAGACAAGUUCUUAAGAUUCUUAACCCCUUUAAAGCCCAAGGUCUUGCAGGGUGUGGUGGCCCUCACCUUGAAUCCUAGCACUCAGGAGGUGUGGUGGUACUCACCU